Long non-coding RNA from Oncorhynchus gorbuscha (pink salmon), 285 nucleotides. RefSeq lists it as uncharacterized. The record is from RefSeq and is a predicted model, not a curated record. Lineage: Eukaryota; Metazoa; Chordata; Actinopteri; Salmoniformes; Salmonidae. The transcript is spliced from 3 exons.
UGACAUCAGCACGGUCAAGGGUCAGCUGGUGGUUCUAGAGUGCCGUAUUCGUGGAACGCCACCACUGCAGAUUCUGUGGCACCAUGAGAAUGAGCAGAUAGUGGACUCAGCUGACUUCCACAUCCUCAGAAAGAAGGCUACUUCUGCAUCAGUGCCAGAGGAGCUGUGGACCCUUGUCGUCACCGAGGCCUUCCCAGAGGACUCUGGGUUGUUCAAAUGUAUAGCUGGGAAUCAGUUGGGAACAGUAUCAUGCGACGCCAUACUGGAGGUGUACCUAGGUGAGCA